This 415-nucleotide unclassified non-coding RNA is filed under the name Cyperus ascocapensis. RNAcentral describes it as "partial contains ETS1f and partial 18S rRNA gene, ETS1f, and partial 18S rRNA gene". Lineage: Eukaryota; Viridiplantae; Streptophyta; Magnoliopsida; Poales; Cyperaceae. The record is from RNAcentral.
CGACACCUCUAUAGACGUUACUGUUUGGUCUGAGCUUCGAUUUGUUGCCUGUGCGGUCAUACCUUCGUAGGUAUCACAUAUGUGUUGCUCUUUCGUGCUUGCUCUGUUGAUGCUAUGUGGGGCGCGAGUGUUGGCAAAUUCCAUGCGCUGCGAGCACUUUGUGUGUCGGAAAUGCUUAUUGGAUGUUUGUCGGGUCUCACGGAUAUCAGUCCCUAUGUUGAGCGGUCUGCUGGCUUCGACCUCGCAGGCUCAUGGUGUUGCCCAUACAAAUAAAUUUGCUGCGGAUGUUUCAUGGACAUGUUGUGCCCUGUUGGGAUUCAUGUUGAGGGAUCGCUCGCCGCAUGUUUGUGUGUAUGUGCAUAUCCUUACCGACCCUAAAUGAUAUGCGAUUGCUGGUCUGCAUUGUCACAGGGAG